CCCCUUUUAGUGCCAACAAGCCCCCCUACGCACACGUCGUCGUCUUCACCCCCCCUUCACAGCUUUCACCCCCUUUCCUCACACUGUGCAUCUCAUCACUAUGUAAGUGGGGAUGCCAGACUGUUUUGCAUAACGCUGUUUAGUCCUUUGUGGCAGGCGGGGCGGCAUGCAAAUAUGCAAAACGAUGAUGGGGAGGCAUUUUGUAGAGUGAUGAGGAAGGGGAGAGGGCGGCAUUGGGAAUGAUGCCGCUGUGUGUGCAUGUGCUUGUGUUUUUGUCUUUUUUUUAACAAGUCUUUGGUAAUAGGAGCGAUGGUGGGAGUGGGUGCCAUCCGAACAAAAGCGAAGUUGGUGAUGGAAUACCACAUCACGCCGGCUUACAUCCUACGUGGAAGGAUACUCGUCUUCUGGCCUUUUUUACACUUAAUGGACAGUGCAACAGAAAGAUUUUUUUUUUUUUUUGUCAUCCAUUGCAUCAUUUUUGUAAAUCCAACCGGCGCAGAAUCAGAAAAUUGCAGCGGCAAAUUAAGAAGAAAGCAACGGGGAAGUUCCUUUUCGCUUACCCCUCCUCUUCAGCCAUGUUCUUUGCUCUCCUACUUAUCUGUGGCAGAGAGUCCAUGGUUCAUUAUAAUUGGCCGUUGUCAUCAUGCAGAUGACACACAGUCAGCGCUGUGAAUAUCAUUAGCGCCUUUGCAUACCUCCGCUCUUUUUCUUUUUUGUCCUUUCUUCUCGUUCCUUCAUUCCGAGGCUCGUUUCGCGAUUUCGAUAUUCCAGCAGAAGGAUCUAUCCACGUGACGAGAAGGAGAGAUGGAAAUAAACAACAACAGCUUCCAUGUGGGCAUUGGAAACUCAAUGGGCUCCAAGAAGCAUCUAGAAGAGUCCGGAUCCUCCUUUUAAAGGCUUUUUGUUGUUUCUAUGCGAUGCAUUUCUUUGUCUUCAGUCCUGUCUUCAUGAGGCAACCAGGGAAAGGUGCCACCCGGACCCUUCAGAGACCUCUGGCAUGGUGGGUGCGGAAAACAGAGGGGCGUGAAAGGACGGGGUGCGAGGAGGAGGAGGAGAUGGGUAAAGGGCGCCUGCCUCUGUUAUGGCAUAUGAAUGGCAGUCACGUAAUGAUGGCAAAUGUGGAGCAGAUUGGCUUUGAAGGAGAACAGGCAGGAAAAUGGGGGAUUCAGCUGGCCUUAUGCCAACAAUCCGCCCCUGCACAAUCUGCUCUGACACUUGUUGCCGUUCUGGAUGAGGAGACACCACGACCCUACAAGUCCAACAGAAAACUCUACGUUAUGCCAUCUAAAGGAAGUCAAGGAGCUUGUCUUUAAUCAUGUGGUUUAAUAUGUCACUACAUGCUCUAAGGUAGGACUUAAUGUAGGGUUAAGUGGUAAUACGUAGGCCUUAGACAAAAUAAAGCCCCCAUCUACAAUCAUUAGCUCUUCUUUUUUCAUGCCCAUCAAAAGUAGAUGUUGCAACCCAUCUACAGUAUGUCCUUUUUUGAUAAUGGUUCAAGAAGACUUUUUUUUUUUUUCUUUUUUUUUUUAAUCCAGCAGACUUCAUAAAUAAAAAUUGCUUGCCUCUGUUAGUUUAUGACAGGUAAACGGACGGCAGCUAGAUAGAGUAUUAUGAUGUUCAUAUUGAAAUGUGCUGAGCAAACAUUUUCCUGCACCAACAGACAUGCUCAGUGUAUGUGAGCGGUGGGGUGGGGGGGGUGCCCUUGUGGUGCACAAAAUGCACACUGAGCUGUCGUCUUGUCUGGAGGGCGUACAACAGGAGGAAGAAGUUUGAAUACCAAAAAACAAAAAAAAAAUGGGGAAGCGAGAGUUAAAUUUAGACUGCAGAGGUUUGCUGAAUGUACAUGAUGCUUAUAGAACAUGAUUUUUUUUAAUGUAUGUCAGGAGACUGGAUUUAAUGUUUCAGGUUUAUGUGGAUAAGAGCUAAACAAGAGCCCACUAUUGUUCAGAUAAAGCGAAAUGUCAUACGUUAAGUGUUAUCUUACGGCUCUUUGUUUAGGUUUGGCUGUGAGGGGGCGGGUGGUUGUCAACCAAAUCAAAUAGCUCAUUUAAAUAAGAACAAUCAGAGUCCCCAAAUAGGGCUGAGAUGCACAAGAGGGAGAAACAGCGAGGCGAUUUGACUUGCGAAUCAGCAGAUGCAUAUCUGCAUGCUAAUUACGUUACAAGAAGAGGGAAAAGAGUGGAAAGCGCCCCACAAGCUCCAGACAGACAGCGAGUGAGGGGAGGAAAGACAUAACAGAGAGGAAGAAGGGGGACGAGGGACCCAAAGAAGCGGACAAACAAACGAAGGAAUCAAAGGGAGCUAUAAAUGAGAUGGGUAAUUAAUUCCCUAUCAGGCUUUAUUCAACGGCGUUUGAUUUUCUUCGGAAACAAAUCGAUUCACGGCGAGGAGACGGAACGAGGAAAAAGCAUGGGACGAAUGUACGGACUGCAGCGGGGUUGGGGGGCAUCCGAAAAUUAAAAUUAUUGAUUGAUCUUAAGAUGCUGGGGGUUGUGAAGCAGAGGGCAUUUUGAGGAUGUAAUUAGAGCGGACUGGGACCGAGGCUGGAAUCAUAAUAGAUGACAUUGGAAUUCUCCACGGCGAUCGACCAUUAAUCUCCAUUAACGCAGAACCGGGAUAUUAAAAAUUCUAAUUGGACGGACAAAAAUUAUGUGGAUGGUGUGCAAAUGUGAGGUGGGAUGUUGAUCUUGGGAGUUUUGUUAUAAUUGCCAACUUGUGGGAAUUGCAUUUGCAGGUAUAGUAUCUGGACUGUGAUUGGGAUUACGAUCCCUCCAAACAAAUACUGAAUUCAUGUUUUAUUUGGUACAUCACUGUAUGAUUGUUUUUGUCUCUUUGAUUGUUGACUCUUAUGAUUAUGUGCAUUCAAACUAUAGUUAAAACUGUUUUUGUACAUGUACUGCAAAAAAUACACUGUCAAGUAAAGAUAAUUGCAUUUUUUUCCCGCUUUGUUUACAUACUUAAAAGUACUUUAUUGAUCAGCAUAUUAAUUUGUAUUUUUACCAAUGCAUAGAUGUCCUCUGCAGGGAUCUAAAUAAACAAUCUCCCAUCC
Molecule: long non-coding RNA, 3049 nt
Organism: Oryzias melastigma (Indian medaka)
Lineage: Eukaryota; Metazoa; Chordata; Actinopteri; Beloniformes; Adrianichthyidae
Exons: 2
Source: RefSeq, a predicted model, not a curated record